UAGGGAAUCUUCCGCAAUGGACGCAAGUCUGACGGAGCAACGCCGCGUGAGUGAAGAAGGAUUUCGGUUCGUAAAACUCUGUUGUUAGAGAAGAACAGCGCAUAGAGUAACUGUUAUGCGUGUGACGGUAUCUAACCAGAAAGCCACGGCUAACUACGUGCCAGCAGCCGCGGUAAUACGUAGGUGGCAAGCGUUGUCCGGAUUUAUUGGGCGUAAAGCGAGCGCAGGCGGUCAAUUAAGUCUAUGUGAAAGCCCCCGGCUCAACCGGGGAGGGUCAUUGGAAACUGGUUGACUUGAGUGCAGAAGAGGAGAGUGGAAUUCCAUGUGUAGCGGUGAAAUGCGUAGAUAUAUGGAGGAACACCAGUGGCGAAGGCGACUCUCUGGUCUGUAACUGACGCUGAGGCUCGAAAGCGUGGGUAGCAAACAGG
Molecule: ribosomal RNA, 428 nt
Filed under: Bacteroidota bacterium
Lineage: Bacteria; Pseudomonadati; Bacteroidota
Description: Bacteroidetes bacterium partial 16S ribosomal RNA
Rfam family: Bacterial small subunit ribosomal RNA
Source: RNAcentral